RNAcentral lists this ribosomal RNA (497 nucleotides) under uncultured bacterium. RNAcentral's name for it is "partial 16S ribosomal RNA". It matches the Rfam family "Bacterial small subunit ribosomal RNA", at positions 28 to 507 of the family's 1533-position model. The record is from RNAcentral.
GAUGAACGCUGGCGGCGUGCCUAAUACAUGCAAGUCGAGCGAACGGACGAGAAGCUUGCUUCUCUGAUGUUAGCGGCGGACGGGUGAGUAACACGUGGAUAACCUACCUAUAAGACUGGGAUAACUUCGGGAAACCGGAGCUAAUACCGGAUAAUCUUUUGAACCGCAUGGUUCAAAAGUGAAAGACGGUCUUGCUGUCACUUAUAGAUGGAUCCGCGCUGCAUUAGCUAGUUGGUAAGGUAACGGCUUACCAAGGCAACGAUGCAUAGCCGACCUGAGAGGGUGAUCGGCCACACUGGAACUGAGACACGGUCCUGACUCCUACGGGAGGCAGCAGUAGGGAAUCGUCCGCGAUGGGCGAAAGCCUGACGGAGCAACGCCGCGUGAGUGAUGAAGGUCUUCGGAUCGUAAAACUCUGUUAGUAGGGAAGAACAUAUGUGUAAGUAACUGUGCACAUCUUGACGGUACCUAAUCAGAAAGCCACGGCUAACUACGUG